This 510-nucleotide long non-coding RNA is filed under the name Chinchilla lanigera (long-tailed chinchilla). Its description in RNAcentral is "lncRNA (ENSCLAG00000026349.1)". The record is from RNAcentral. Lineage: Eukaryota; Metazoa; Chordata; Mammalia; Rodentia; Chinchillidae.
AUGCACAAGGAAAAAAAGGAUGCAUGUGGAACAAGCGUGCAUCCGACCAUCCAUAACGCCACCCUUCCCACCGGCUCAACAGGGCCGUCUGAAGCCCCGGAGCCGGAGGCGCCUCCGCAGCCACAGGUUGCACGACAAGGCUCCCCCACCCCCUCCCGCGGCAGUUCCGGAGCCUGCGGGUCGGGUCGGCGGUCCGCUCCGCCGAGUCUCCCCGAGCCCUCCAGUCUCGCUCCGCCGCGGGCACUGCAGCUCACACCACUCUCGCAAGCCACCAGAUGUCCACAAGGUAGUGGAACAAAUCUCCACAAAAAUUUGAGGACUCCUAAGACCCACCUCAGGGCUACCUUCUGUCUGUAGUUGCACCACUCAGGAGGCUAAGGCAAGAGGAUCACGGAUUCAAGGGAAGCCCAAGAAAGGACCAUUGCUAAAGCACAGGAGCAAGACUUUUAAGACAGAAAAUGUUUUUUCCUUGUAACUUUACCUUUGUUCCUGUACUGAAGAAAGCAACAG